Molecule: ribosomal RNA, 482 nt
Filed under: uncultured bacterium
Lineage: Bacteria
Description: partial 16S ribosomal RNA
Rfam family: Bacterial small subunit ribosomal RNA
Source: RNAcentral
AUUGAACGCUGGCGGCAUGCUUUACACAUGCAAGUCGAACGGUAACAGGCGGCAAGGUGUUGACGAGUGGGGCACGGGUGAGUAAUGCAUCGGAACGUGCCCAGUCGGGGGGGAUAAUUACUCGAAGGAGAAGCUAAUACCGCAUCCGAUCUAUGGAGGAAAGGGGGGGACCGAAAGGCUCCGCGCGAUUGGACCGGCCGAUGUCAGAUUAGGUAGUUGGUGGGGUAAAGGCUCACCAAGCCAACGAUCUGUAGCUGGUCUGAGAGGACGACCAGCCACACUGGGACUGAGACACGGCCCAGACUCCUACGGGAGGCAGCAGUGGGGAAUUUUGGACAAUGGGCGCAAGCCUGAUCCAGCAAUGCCGCGUGCAGGAAGAAGGCCUUCGGGUUGUAAACUGCUUUUGUACGGAACGAAACGGCUCUGGUUAAUACCCGGGGCUAAUGACGGUACCGUAAGAAUAAGCACCGGCUAACUACGUG